RNAcentral lists this ribosomal RNA (253 nucleotides) under uncultured bacterium. RNAcentral's name for it is "partial 16S ribosomal RNA". It matches the Rfam family "Bacterial small subunit ribosomal RNA", at positions 524 to 776 of the family's 1533-position model. The record is from RNAcentral.
UACGUAGGUGGCAAGCGUUGUCCGGAUUUACUGGGCGUAAAGAGCGCGCAGGCGGUCGUUCAAGUCGCGUGUGAAAGCCCCCCGGCUCAACUGGGGAGGGUCACGCGAUACUGAUCGACUCGAAGGCAGGAGAGGGUAGUGGAAUUCCCGGUGUAGUGGUGAAAUGCGUAGAUAUCGGGAGGAACACCAGUGGCGAAGGCGACUACCUGGCUGUUCUUGACGCUGAGGCGCGAAAGCAUGGGGAGCGAACAGG